CCAUUAUGCAGAUGAUGAAGCUGAGUUCCAGAGCAUUUCAGGGACUUUCCCAGGCUUGUAUAACCAGUAUACCACACCUCAGACUCCAUGUACUCUGAGUGGCCAUGGAAUACCGUGGUUGUCAGAAUUCUCCUGGCACCCCUUUCAUUCAUCUCUAGCCAUCCUCUGGAGACUUUUCUCUGAACAUUCUGGAUCUGCCUUCUAAAAGUCCAGGAAUUGGAUGCAGAAUCAUGGUCUUUCUCUAACUUCUGGAAGAUAAAAACUCACCAGCAAAUUGCAAAUUCAUCAGCUGAGCUGCUUUCUGCAAGCAAUGUCUACCAGUUACAUGCAAGAUGGUUGAAGAGUACCUCAAGCAAUAUGCCAGCAUGGAUGACUCACAAGCUGGAGUCAAGAUUGCCAGGAAAGUAUUAGCAGCUUCAGAUAUGCAAAUGAUACGACUUUAAUGACAGAAAGUGAAGAGGAACC
This is a long non-coding RNA of Bubalus bubalis (water buffalo), 465 nucleotides long. RefSeq lists it as uncharacterized. The record is from RefSeq and is a predicted model, not a curated record. The transcript is spliced from 3 exons. NCBI's taxonomy places the organism in Eukaryota, Metazoa, Chordata, Mammalia, Artiodactyla, Bovidae.